GACGAACGCUGGCGGCGUGCCUAAUACAUGCAAGUAGAACGCUGAAGAGAGGAGCUUGCUCUUCUUGGAUGAGUUGCGCACGGGUGAGUAACGCGUAGGUAACCUGCCUUGUAGCGGGGGAUAACUAUUGGAAACGAUAGCUAAUACCGCAUAACAAUGGAUGACACAUGUCAUUUAUUUGAAAGGGGCAAUUGCUCCACUACAAGAUGGACCUGCGUUGUAUUAGCUAGUAGGUGAGGUAAUGGCUCACCUAGGCGACGAUACAUAGCCGACCUGAGAGGGUGGUCGGCCACCCUGGGACGGAGACACGGCCCAGACGGCUACGGGAGGCGGCAGGAGGGAAUCUUCGGCAAUGGGGGCAACCCUGACCGAGCAGCGCCGAGGGAGGGAAGAAGGUUGUCGGAUCGGAAAGCUCGGUUGUCAGUCAAGAACGCGUGUGAGAGUGGAAAGUUCACAGUGUGACGGUAGCUGAUCAGAAAGAAACGGCUAACUACGUG
RNAcentral lists this ribosomal RNA (497 nucleotides) under uncultured bacterium. Its description in RNAcentral is "partial 16S ribosomal RNA". It matches the Rfam family "Bacterial small subunit ribosomal RNA", at positions 28 to 507 of the family's 1533-position model. The record is from RNAcentral.